AGUGUAUUCUUGUGUAUUAGUAUCCGUGACUCUGCAAUGCAGUGUGAGCAGUGGGGUGAUGAUCAAAACCCAUGGAUUGUGUCAUUUUGGGUGAAGAACAGUACACCUGUGACCCGGCUGUGCUCAGUCACUGGAGGAAAAAAAUAGACUUGCAGAUGGUGUUUCCUUCUUUGACUCCCGUAUUUUAGGAUGCAAUGAAAUGACAGUUGGAGAUGUGUAUUUCUAAAGGCAGCCAUGGGUAUGGAGUAAUGAUAACAAAAAGAUAGCCUCCAGAUACUCAUCACAUGCCAACAGGAUUACGUCUGGAAAGUGUCUCCCUCUCUGCUUCUCCCUCUCUGCAAGACCUCCUGGCUCAUACAGUUCCGAUGCAGUGGAGCAUGGCGUCGUGAGAUGCUUAUUCUCGAAUUUAAAUGGAGUGAAACGAUAGCGAUCCUCUGCGAAAAUAAGAAUACCGUCCCAGUCAGGCUUGGACCACCUGCGAUGUCACCAGAAGGUGAAUUAAGAGGAUUUGGCAAUUCCACAGUCUGCUUCAGGACAUAUCUUCUCAGAUGCAGCUGUUUUGACUAGCUGAGUACUGCAUGGUUCUCUGCACAAGCACAUAUGCAUAGACAUACGUAUAGACACAGACGCAUGUACAACUUCCUUGCAUGCUGAAGCAAACUCCUCCCACAGUCUAUUCCUGGCGCACAUCUAAAUGGCUGUUUUAUACACAUUAACCCUGUGAAACGCUGUAGGACUUUGCUAUUCUCCUCCCAGAUAAUAAACUAUCCGUUUGCAAGCCUGUCACACAGUUCAUAGAUCAAAGAGUCAAGGUGUCACCAGCCUUCUUUAGUAUAGAUACCACUGGUUCUUUACUGCCUAGUUGUGCUUGCAUAGCCAUCAGAUAUUUUUUUGUCUUAAAGUUACUUACCCCAUUCAAGUACUCAAUUUUCUUUUUUGCGGCAUCUGUGCCACAGACUUGCUGGCUGAAAAGAAUAUCCAACCAAAAAAUGCAGCAGCACUCUCCCCAUUAUUUAGCUUACUUUCCUUCCAUCCUGCCUAUCUGCUUUUGAACAUAGUCUUCCCAUUAAUAAGAAUUCAAAGAAAAUGAAAAUAUAAUUAUUAAUUUCAGUUGAAAAUGUAACAAGGAAAUCUUUAUUAAAGAGUUAAAAAGAUUAUUUCAUGUCACUAUAUAUUCAAUGUCUUUAUGAGAUGAUUUUAAUUCUGGGUCUGUAUGAAAAAAGAUAAAGGAGAAGGUGGGGAGAAAGGGAUCCUGAUAGGGUGUAGUGUUUAUGUAUCUCUUUUGUAGUGCAAGAAAUUUGCUUAGUUUUCUCUCUGUGCUUGUACUUAGACUAUCACAGAAGAGAAGCAUGAACAAUAAGUUCUUAUGCAACUCUUUCUUCCAAGACUGUGCUUGUGCCAGUAAUUUACAAGUAAUGGUCUACAGCUGUGAUCUCCAGCUCUUGAGCUGUUUUGGUAUUUCAGUAAUUACAACAGUUUCAUUAACAUUUAAAGGGAAUAGUCAGUUCAAUAUCAAUAAGAGACUAUUCUGUACAGCAUGGAUCCAUUUCACAUUUGCAUUUGACAUUUGAUAAUCUCUACACAUCAGUUCUGAGCCACAGAAAUGAGAUGUCACACAAGGGAAAAAUUAACCCAGAUAUAACUUUUUAGUAAAUUUAUGGAGCUGUAGAAUAGAAGUUGAGGACUGGCAUGGUUGUGAAGAACACCUCUUUCCCAGUCUUAUGUUCAUUUGAAACAUAAGACAUAACUUUAAGCUUUUGUUGUGUACAUGACAAAUUUGUGGAUAUUGAAAAGAAAUAAAAAUGGGAAACUAGCUAAAUAGUGAAAUAACCAACAUAGAUGUGAACAUAUUUUCUAUAUGUAAAUAAUAAACAUGGUCAAGUUUCUGAGAUGUCAGAUGUACAUUUUACAGCAGUCUUAAUUUUUGGCUACCACUCUCCAUAGCAACUGUAUAUCUACUAUACACAGCUGAUGCAAUUAACAGGAAUCAACAAAGAAACAUCAUUACAUUAGCACAAGCAGUAAUCAGAAAUUAAAAUUCAGUGAAGCCAGGUUUAAGCUGAUACAUCAGAAUAGACAGUUUUAAAUUCUGCAUAACAUAUGAAUCUAGCAACUGGAAAAUGCUAGCUCAGUGUACAGCAGCAGCCAAUUAAGCUAAUUAAAUGUUAGAAACUAGUGGAAAAGCAGUAACGAAAAGCUUUAUUUCCAAUUUCAUAAACUCAUUUUUUUCUGAUGUCCUGGAAAACAAGUAGAUGUUCUCAUGUCCUAGAAAACAAGGAUAUUCCUCAUCACCUAUUGCUGAGGAAUAUGACAGAUAUGCAUAGGGACCAAUGGAAGGAAACAAAAAUAUCGCGUGUACAGAGUUUUCCUUAC
Molecule: long non-coding RNA, 2373 nt
Organism: Gallus gallus (chicken)
Lineage: Eukaryota; Metazoa; Chordata; Aves; Galliformes; Phasianidae
Source: Ensembl